Ustilago trichophora is the source of this 110-nucleotide non-coding RNA. NCBI's taxonomy places the organism in Eukaryota, Fungi, Basidiomycota, Ustilaginomycetes, Ustilaginales, Ustilaginaceae. The record is from the annotation of a GenBank genome assembly.
GGUUGUAUGGAGUAGUUGGUUAACUUAGGAGAUUCUGAUUGUUCGAGUUUUCAAAGCUCAUCAAUACGAUUCGACUUCUCUUGCCCUGGGUUCGAAUCCCAGUACGACCU